UUUUAAAUAGUUUAAAAAUUAAAAUUUAAUAUUGAAGAUAUUAAAAUGAUUAUUAGUAAUCUUUAAAAA
Molecule: transfer RNA, 69 nt
Filed under: Prosaspicera validispina
Lineage: Eukaryota; Metazoa; Arthropoda; Insecta; Hymenoptera; Figitidae
Description: tRNA-Phe
Source: RNAcentral